Long non-coding RNA from Oncorhynchus tshawytscha (Chinook salmon), 936 nucleotides. Lineage: Eukaryota; Metazoa; Chordata; Actinopteri; Salmoniformes; Salmonidae. The record is from Ensembl.
AUCUCACAUUCCAGUGUUUCUAAUGAAGGUGUAGAUUACAUCUCACAUUCCAGUGUUUCUAAUGGAGGUGUAGAUUACAUCUCACAUUCCAGUGUUUCUAAUGAAGGUGUAGAUUACAUCUCACAUUCCAGUGUUUCUAAUGGAGGUCUAGAUUACAUCUCACAUUCCAGUGUUUCUAAUGAAGGUGUAGAUUACAUCACACAUUCCAGUGUUUCUAAUGGAGGUCUAGAUUACAUCUCACAUUCCAGUGUUUCUAAUGAAGGUGUAGAUUACAUCUCACAUUCCAGUGUUUCUAAUGAAGGUGUAGAUUACAUCUCACAUUCCAGUGUUUCUAAUGGAGGUGUAGAUUACAUCUCACAUUCCAGUGUUCCUAAUGAAGGUGUAGAUUACAUCUCACAUUCCAGUGUUCCUAAUGGAGGUGUAGAUUACAUCUCACAUUCCAGUGUUUCUAAUGAAGGUGUAGAUUACAUCUCACAUUCCAGUGUUCCUAAUGAAGGUGUAGAUUACAUCUCACAUUCCAGUGUUCCUAAUGGAGGUGUAGAUUACAUCUCACAUUCCAGUGUUUCUAAUGGAGGUGUAGAUUACAUCUCACAUUCCAGUGUUUCUAAUGGAGGUGUAGAUUACAUCUCACAUUCCAGUGUUUCUAAUGGAGGUCUAGAUUACAUCUCACAUUCCAGUGUUUCUAAUGGAGGUCUAGAUUACAUCUCACAUUCCAGUGUUUCUAAUGAAGGUGUAGAUUACAUCUCACAUUCCAGUGUUCCUAAUGGAGGUGUAGAUUACAUCUCACAUUCCAGUGUUUCUAAUGGAGGUCUAGAUUACAUCUCACAUUCCAGUGUUUCUAAUGGAGGUGUAGAUUACAUCUCACAUUCCAGUGUUUCUAAUGGAGGUGUAGAUUACAUCUCACAUUCCAGUGUUUCUAAUGGAGGUCUAGAUUAC